CAUAAUGGAAGGUCAAGAAAUGGAGGAGUGGAGAGUCAACGAGAUUAUAACGGCAGUCGACAAGUAACGACGGAGGAGAAGGUGACACGUGGAGAAAUCAAGAGGUAGUCGGAGUUUAGUGAAUGGAUUCAAGCGUUUGGGAAAGCUUUGGUUGAACAAGAACGAAGACAGAAAAAUAAAAAAGCGACGAGAGAAACUAUGACAAAGGACAAAAUUUGAUGAUUUGUUCACAAGCAACAAACAGCAACACAACAGCACAGCGUCGUUGUUGUUCGCAUUGGCAGCGCCGUCCAGUUUGAAUAAAAUAAAGUAAUAAACGUGUUGAGAUGCAAACACAUACUCAGUCGAGCGCAUACUGAGUCACACUCAAUGCCUGCAUGAAGAAAGAUCAGUUUUUGCGUCGCUCACAGACUCGUUACACAAACGGCUGAAACAAGACGUGAUUAUUGACAUCCUACAAACAUUAGAGUACACGAGGGCAGCUAACUAUUCACUAAGCACAGGAGAUAGAUACAAACAUAUAGCUUGGGAACAAGUUAGACUCACGAGUCAGAGUCACGAUUAGGGGUGUUGUUAACUCAGAAAGACUCUCGUCAACGUUUCCGCUUUCUCUUGCUGCCUUGGCUUGUCUUGGUUCCCGGGGGACAUGAAUCCAGUUUGGUCUUUAUAACAGAGCUCCACAAGGCCCUUUCCACAUCUGAAGGUGUGAACAAAUCAUCAUCUGUACUUAACUCCUGUAACAUACCCAUAUGGAGUGUCAAUCACUGUGGAAACUGGCAAUAGGCAUACUCGCCACACAAAACCAUGAUCUCAGAAGUGCAAACAUCAACCCAUAAAACUAGAUUCCAAGUCACUGACUUGCAUACAUGAAUAAAUCAGCUAAAAAGAUUUCAUAAGUUCGUAUGAAUAUCCUGAGGCAUGGCUAUCCACGGCAUAACUUCACAAGUACAGCAGAAGAAUAGGGAGGCAUAGGAAUCCAAUCCUAGUACACUACUCACUAUCUCGCGAAAAAGAUCCAACUUAGAUUACCGGAAUCUGAAGGAAC
Molecule: long non-coding RNA, 1045 nt
Filed under: Linum usitatissimum (flax)
Lineage: Eukaryota; Viridiplantae; Streptophyta; Magnoliopsida; Malpighiales; Linaceae
Description: long non-coding RNA (LUSI_LNC006363)
Source: RNAcentral